CUAUGUGGACUUUGCUGCUGAGUCAGUGUGAGACCUUGAACAAGUCUCUGUUUGUUUCGUACCAUUCAGAUUUCCUCGUCUGUAAACAUUAAGUAUCUACAUUCACUAAAAGUAGUUCUGAAUGAAUGUUAUUUAAUGGUGCCAAUGAUGUUGGAGGAUACCUGUGCAUCUCAUGCUGUGGUUACAGCAUCAAUUGUGAUGAAUAUAGGAUACUGAGUCCCUCCUAGAAAUGACUUCAGGAACUUCACCCCCCAACUCCACAAUCUGGGAAUGGCAGACAGAUUCAGCACCAGGAGAACAUCACAUAAAGGACAAGUGUGUAUGUUUAAAAAUGGCAAGUUUCGGCCUGGCAUGGUGGCUCACGUCUAUAAUCCCAGCACUUUGGGAGGCUGAGUCUAAGUGUACAGUGCUUGUAAAGUCUGCAGUAGCAUACAGUAAUGUCCAAGGCUUUCACAUCCACUCACCACUCGCUCACUGACCCAGCCAGAGCAACUUCCAGUCCUGAAAGCUGCAUUCAUGGUGAGUGUCCUACACAGGUGCAUCAUUUUUAUCUUUUAUACCAUAUUUUUACUGUAUCUUUUCUAUGUUUAGAUAUGUAAAUACCAUUGUGUUACAAUUGCCUACAGUAUUCAGGACAAUAACAGGCUGUACAUGUUUGUUGCCUAGCAGCAGUAGGUGUGUAGUAGGCUCUUCUGUCUAGUUUUGUGAAAGUUCACACUAUGAUGUUUGCAUAACAACAAAAUCACCUAUGGAUGCGUUUCUCAGAAUGUAUCCCCAUUGUUAAACGAUGCAUGGCUCUGUGUGUGUAUGUGCAGGACUCUGUGUGUGUGGUAUAUGCAUACCACAUACGCACACAUCCACACUAUACUAUGCACUCUACAUAUAUACAACUACAUAGGCAAAUAUAAAGCUGCAUGUGCAUAAAUACACAAACAAACACACAUACAUAUGUAUAAAAGGUAAUGUAUUGAUAUUAAUACUGACAAUGUGUACUAAGCAUAUAUUUAUAUACCCUUAAAUGUAUAUUAUUUUAAUACAUACUAUAUUAUGUUAUAUACUAAUACACUUUUUUAAAACUGAAAGAAAUCUCGUUGCCAAUUUGUGUUUCUAAAUAUGAUGUCCAUAUUUUUUCUGAUUUUAUUACUAUAGCUGUGAUCACGUCAUGUAACUUAAUUUUGAUGAUGUUUCUCACAGUAUAGUUUGAGGGUAUCCAGCCUCAGAUUAUCUGAGGAUGUAGCUCAAGAUUUCCUAAUUUUGCAAACAGCAAGCUUCCCAGGAGAUUCUUAGAUUCCUGCUAACAAAAGGCGGAGACUCACUGGACAGUUACUGAAGAUAGACAGUAGGGGGCGGAAGGGCCCACGCUUCUUUGAUAUUGGUGGCUUUGGUUUUUCAGUGACGGGGGACACUUUGACUUCAGGUAUGUUCUGCAUUUAGAAUUUUCAAAUGAACGUUUCUUGUCUGUUCCCUUCUUUUUUCUGCCUCCAAACAUAAUGUCUAUCAUUGUAAAAGUAAUAAAAAAUCACUGAACAAAAUUUGGAAAAUACCAAAUGAAUAACAAUAGAAAUAAAGUAAAAAAAGAACCACUCAAAUUCCCAUCAUCAAGAAAUAAACAUUCUGAUAAUAUUUAAUUUUAUUUUCCUAUAUAUAUUGUGUGUGUGUAUAUAUGUAUGUGUAUAUAUAUACAUAUAUUCAAAAUGUAUUAUAACACAAAAUGUAUAAAAUAUAUAAUAGUAUAAACAAAAUUAUAUUAUAUAUGUCAUUUUCAUGUCAUAUGUCAGAUAUAGCAUAUUAAUACAUACCCAGUUUUCUAAAAUGCUGAUCUCUUUGAAAUAUUCAAUUAUCAAUUGUGUUUCUUUCCUCACUGAAGUUCCUUUUUACGACUUUUGGUAGUGAAGAGAUAAAGUUCAUUACAAAACAUGCCAGGCUUAAGCAAUUUUCCAAAGGGAUUAACGAAUUGCAGUGGCCGCAGGCUAUGUAAAAAUUUUUAAAAGGUGGUGUCUCUCAUAUUCUUCAGCAUAACUUGGGUCACAGAAACCCAGGCAUAAAAAUUCAUUGUGAACUCAUAUUCUACCAUGGCCUGACACUGGUAAGUUAUUUUGUUGCAAAAGCCUUAAGCAAUUUGAGAUGUCGAAGCACGUUUUCAAGAGUUAGCACAUCUCCAUUGUCUAUAAACUGCAUGCAUAUUUUAUGCCUAAAAAAUAUUUCAUCUUCUGAUUUUCUAGCUUUCUUCUGCAGGUUGUUUUUUUUUUUUUAGAAUAUUUUUCAAUCAUUUUAAUUCUCUAUUGUAAAACUUGGAAAUCUCUACUUAUGGACUGCCAAGAACAGUCUGAAAUUAAAUCAAUUUACUCUCACUCUUAGUGAAUAUUUUGGGAGUGCUAGGUAUUGAAUGUGUCCCCCAAAAGUUCAUGUGUUAGAAAUGUAAUCCUUCUGCCCCUAUGAUGAGAUGAAUGGAUGAAUGAGGGCUCUGUUCUCAUGACGGGAUGAAUGUUGCUGUCCCAGGAGUGGGUUUAUUAUCACAGCAGCGUUAUUCUUGUGCCUGUGAGCUCUCCCUGGCUCCCUUGCUCCCACUCUGAGCAUGUGAUGCCCUCUGCCAUGAGGUGAGGCAGCAAGAAGGCCCUCACAGAUGCCGGCACUGUGGACUUCCAGCCUCUAGAACUAUGAGCUAAAUAAACUUUUUAAUAUAAAUUACCUAGUUUGUCAUCUUUUGUUACCAAUAAGAAAAGGCAAUAAGACCGGGAGGUUCUAUUAUGAUGUCAUUCAUGGGAAAAUGGUAGACAGGACAGAAUCUUUGCUGGCUCCCUAGAUACUGCCUUGGAAUGUUACUCUUGGAAAACAGUGGCUACAGAGUGAUGCCUUUCUCCAUAACUUUAAUUUACCUUAAGAAAAGCUUUGAGUGCUACUGAGUCGGGAAUGAAAAACCUAGAGAAUGUUCUGUCCUGUGGGAGCAAGGAGUAUAGUUAGUCCCUGUAUUACUACCCAAAGGGGCAUGAGGCUUCACCCUCCUUGGGCUCCCUAGGGACUUAUAAUGCCUUCCUGUAAUUAUCGGGCCAGUUAAUUUAAUACUAAUCCACUUAAUUCAGUUAACAUCAGAUUUGUCCUAGGGAUCUUGUUACAUCCUUUUGUAUACUAAAAGAGAAAAAGAAAAAAAAAAAGAUUUGCUUCUCUUUCAAUAUUCCUGGGAAGUUGGAUAUCCACAUGGAAAAGGCAGAUCUCUAGUUCACAACAGAUAAAAAAUAAAUUUUACUCAAUGUGAAAUUAAAUGUAAAAAAUAAAACUUCAACAUUGUAGAAGAAAAUAUAGAAAAAGCUCUUUAGGUCUGUGAAGGAGAAAAGAAUUAUCGAAAUCAGGCCAUAAAGAAAAAGUACAAGUCAUAAAGGCAAUAAAUAUACAAAUAGAGUUUAACCUCUGAAACACUUGACCGAAUGUUCUGAGGUAAAAACAACAAACCAGCCAUUGAAGGGAAGAACAGAUUGACAGUGCAUAUAACACAGAAAGAAGUAGUAAUCAAACUAUUUAAAAUUGCCUAAUAAAUCAAAAAGAAAAGACCAAAAAAGGAAAAAAAAAAACAUUGAAGGAUAAGAAUAAGCAAUUGACAGAAGAAGAAUUUGUAAUGGUCAAUAAAGAGAUGUAGUAAUUUUUAAAUUAUAAUAAACAAUGGAAAUAAACAGAAUGCCCAUUAGCAGGAUAGGUGAAUAUACAUAUUUUUGUACGGUCAUAAACUGGAGCGUAUUAUUCCCUAGAUUUUUGUAUUUCUGAAAUUGUUUAUUAAAAUAGUCUUAGUCUCUCUAACAAUUUAAACAAAGCCACUAAAAGGACCUGGUGCUAUAUUGUAAAUUAAAAUUUACAUGCCAAUGGAAAGAAUUGAAUUAAGCAUAGUUCAGUUUGCAUUUUUUUGAAGCAAUGUAUUUUUAAAGACAAAAUAACUGAACUAAGAUAACAAUUUAUAUAAAAGAAAAUGGCUGUUUCUGCUAAAUAGCCUGUUGCAUUUGAAAUCUUUGCUAUCUCUGUGGAGACCAGGAGCAAUCUAAAUGGAAAUAAAGUAACUUUAUAAUUGUAAAUGUGUAUUUGAGUGAAAGCUAACUUUAGGGAAUAGUAGAGAGUAAACUGGGUAUUCACAGGUAAAGAGAGAUAAUUUCUAGAACAAAAAAUGUCAGCCAGAAGAAAUGGGCCAAAUAUUAGUGUCCUCGUUUGGAUUUUAAUGAAGUUGUCAAAUUUAUGGGCUAUGAUAACUUAUAAUGGGCAAAAGAAUGUUAAGUAGUCUAGAUGGGAGAGGGCAGAAAUUACAACAACAAAAAAAUUCAGACACCAAAUGAUGACACAAUCUUCCAAAUUAUAAAUCUGAUCUCAUUUUUAUUCAGUGACAUUUGAUAUCUCUCAACUUUCCACACUUUAAUAUAUUCAGUAGUAAAUUUGAUAGGAUUGAAAAAAAUGACACUAUAAUUCCAAAGUCUUUUGCAUAGAUCAUUUCUGAGAAUCUGUGCCUAACCUAACCUCAUUUCCAGAAACUUCUCAAGCUGCCCCAUGUCUCAGGUGAGUAGAAUGGAAAAAAAGACGCGAUUAACUGCUCUAAUAUUUUAUUUAAAUUUAAUAUAAGCAUUUGCCAUUAGUUUACAAGUAAAUGCUUUAAUACGUCAAGAUUCGUAGAGAAGAUUCUGAAUCUUGAAUUUUGUCGAUGACUCAGUGUUAUGGAAAAUCUAGAACAGCAGGGUCCCACCUCAUGGUGACAAGAGAUGGAAUGUCCUAAUCGUUUAAUUAUUGGUUGUAAAACCUAUCCCUUGCAAAAACAGGGAGGCUUUUACGACGGCAUUGUGUCUGCCUGCUAGCGCCCCAGGCAGCUUCGCAGAGCUUCCCAGUGCUGAUGAGAUGGUGGAGACUGCUUUUGUGAUGAUUUUCCAGAGUUUGUUUAUUCAUUUGUUCAAAUAACAUUGACUAUGUGGAAAUGAUUAUUUGGUGCCAUUAAGAGAUUGAUUGUGUCUCAUUCUUAAAAGUUAUAGACUUUAUAAACAAAUGUUAUCAUUAUAUUAAAUACUAAUUUAAAAUACAAUAACAAUUACAUUAUAAUAAAUACUAUAAAAAAAUAGAAAAAUUAUACAUCUUGUCAGUCCAAUCAACUGUAAAAUAAUAUUACAUGAGAUACUGCCAUAAUACUUUUCAAGUUUCAAAAUUGAAAUCGAUUAAACCUGUUUGAAAACCUAUAUACAUGCGUUAAGCAAGAUGCUACAGCUUAUUUCUCUACUAGCUGGCUGUGACUUUCCCUUUCGUUUUCCCUAUUUACUCUAUUAGUGAGGAGCCCCUUAUCUCGUAUUUUAGGUCCACAUUUGUACAUAGUUCACAACAGGAAUUAGUAAAUAAAAGCUGCUGACAGCAGUACUUUAAUUUCCCCCUGAAGCUCAUUCAUCUGGGAGGUAGCCAGCCUCUGUUACACCACAAAGACCUGGCUUCAAGCUUCCCGCCUUAUUUUAUGAGAACAUCAGCCUCUCAAGUCCAGCUGAUUAUUUUGUUUCUUAAGCUACAUCAGUAUAGAAACAGAAGGAAAAGUGGAGGAAGUUAGGAGAAUAGACCCUGAGUGUAGCAAGUAGUAAAGGUUGACAAUCUGCUGGAGGAAAGUCAGCAUGCAAAAGUCCAGAGAUAGCUAAAACACACAGUACGAGGGGGAGUGGACAUGAAGGGCAACCCAGACAGUCCGGAUGCUUAGCUGAGUGAGCAUCAGUCACCCCAAAGCCUGACUCAUCUCAAACACCUUGAUUUUCUCUACUGUAUACCCCACACCUCACCAUGAAUGGAGAGUUGCUGUGGUUGAUUUCACUCCUGAGUUACCAUUUCUACAGAUUUCACCAACAAGAACAUGAGUGAUUGUUUCAGUAUUGACCUAAACUUUGACUCUUGGGGUUGAGACAGUUUUCUCAAUGAACUGAGUUUGAACCCUGGUGGCAAGGUGGGUGCCAGGUGGUGUUGAUGGUAGGACAACCCAGAGCUGUGAUGACUCCCCAAGAGCACGGCCUAUGAAACCUCAUGGACUUGGCAUGUUGUUGAUGGAACAUCCAAAGCAUUGCAUGAGAUUCUCAACCAUAAGGGAUGGUCAAAAUUAGUGUCACAUAAGAAGGUACAAUCAAUUUUCACAGUCACUUCACUUUUAAGGAGGUAGAGUCAGAUGUCCUGGAAAAUAAGAGAAAACUAAGAGAAAAUGAAAAUGAAAGCCAAAAUGGAUCUCUUUGUGAAAUAUGUUCAGAGCAUUAGAGAGUAGAGUAAAAUGGUAAUUCACAGAACUCCUCACCCAUGAAAUGAAUAUCUUGUGAGCAGGUUAGUCUUUUUCCAUCUAUUGAGUCAGAAUCUGGGUGAGUCACACACUUCAGGUGACAGAUGCCAAAACACCCUCAAAAUUAACCAAAGGGUGCUGCUUAGCCUUGCAAAGCAAAUACAAAUAUUCAAACAAACAUCUCUCCAAAAGGCACCUCUCCACUUUCCGCUAACUAACCGUCUGUGCUAUGUCUUUACCUAGAGCCCCGUGCUUGGGAUGGGAACAGACGUGUUCCUGCGCAGCCCUAUUAUUUUCUUGUCAGAAGCCUGAUUAGAGUGAUGGAGAGGUUUAUAAUGUGUCCUGUUUUCCCCUGUAAAAAACACAUUUCUCCUAAAGCCAUUUAAUAUUUCAUUGCCAGAAUAUCCAGUGAUAUAAAAAUUCUGAAACCCUUUAUUUUCUGUUGUAUAGGUAAGAAAAAGAAAACAUCAAUUUACAGUUUACAUGUAAAUCCCACAGAUAGCACUUAAAAUCAAGUAGUAGAUAACAUAACCUGGCAGCCAUCAUAAUGCUCAGCAUUUUAUAAUUCAAAAAACAUAACAAUCAGGUUAAACAAAUAGUAUUUUUUAUUAAAUGUCACUCAAUCCCAGGGCUGAGAAUUCAUUUGUGUUUUCCUCCUAGACUCAAUCACCACAAUUGCAAUCAAAAGACGGCUUUAGUUGGAACCUGGAACGUGCUAAUCCUGUCAGGCAGCCUGUGAUUCUGGAAGUGAAGGAACAAAAAAAAAAAAAAAAAGGGAAAAUUUCACAUAAAAUUUCCAUAUGAGGAAGAAGAUGGAAACUUUUGUGUUGUGCGUUCAGUAAAACGGGCACUUUCUUAAGCAGGUGGCAAAGAAAGCCUGAGAAUCCGGCCUGACUUUUUCAUUUCAGAACCCUGCAUUUCCCACACAGAGGAGAUAGAGCACAGCCAUUGCAUGGUAGAUCCAGCUUGCUCUCACAGCCAUUGUGCAAAUAAACAUACAUGUGGCAAGGCAGUGCAGUUUUCAGUUGUUAAAAGUUCUGUCAUGCCACGAGAUGGAGCAAAGGAUAAACGCUGAUGUAAACAGGCAACAGGACUCUGACUCCACACCCCUGUCUGCACGGAGGAUGCUCAGUCCUUACACAACAAAAUGUGAGAUGCUUCCAGUCACCUCCUGGCCCUGACCCCUGAGCUCCGUGCUCACCCCACUGGAGGUCCUGGCAGUUCUCCGAGCAGGCUGUACCUGUCUGGGGUGAUCCUCUCCACUUAAUGUUAGACAUUAAGUUCCCUGUGAAAUCUGUUUUGACUCACUGAGGUUAUGAAUAUUUUAUCACAACUAUCAUCAUAUACUACCAAAUCUCCAAUUUUCUUAUCUCCAUUACUAGACUGUGAGCUCCCUGGAGGCUGGACCUGGGUUUGGCACCGAGUGGCACUCAUACAUACUUCUUGAAUAAGAGAAUUGGUGGCUUUAAAACAUGUCUACAAAUGCCUUGACCGUCUUUCCAGUGGGAGGCAGAGUCUAACUCCCUGUCCCCCGAAUGUGGGCUGGCCUUUGGGAAGAAAAGAAUAAGGUUGAAGUGAUGCUGCCCAACUUCUAAACCCAGUUCCUAAAAGGUACCUUUGGCCUUUCUCUCUCGCUCACUCUCUGUCUCGCUCUUUUGGGAUGCUUGCUCUGUGGGACUGGCCAUUCUAGUGUGAAGAGGCCCAAGUCAUCUGGAAUAACCAAGUGUAAUAUUAAAAUUGUGCUUAAGCAUAAUAUGAAUGCAGAGUGAUUAGUCCUGGGAAUGGAGUAGAGGCUACGUGUUACUUUCCUGGGUAAAACAACAAAAACUUCUGUGUCUCUGUCUUUUUCUAUAGCAAAUGAGGGUUGGGGAUGGGGCCUGUAUGGAUGGUGCAGGUGGUGUCUUCAUCCUGAGGCUUUCUUAUAAGACUAACAAACACUUGUACAAGUCCUUGCUUUCUUGUUCCUUGUUUUUUUUUUUUUUUUUUUUUUUUUUCUUUCUUCCUGAGACUGAGCCUUGCUCUGUCAUCCAGGCUGGAGUGCAGUGAUGCGGUGACGUGAUCUCAGCUCACUGCAACAUCUGCCUCCCUGCUUCAAGCGAUUCUCCUGCCUCAGCCUCCCGAGUAGCUGGGAUUACAGGCACGUACCACCAUGCCUGGCUAAUUUUUGAUUCUUAGUAAAAAAGGAAUUUCACCAUGUUGGCCAGGCUGGUCUCGAACUCCUGACUUCAGGUGAUCCACCCGCCUCAGCCUCCCAAAGUGCGGGGAUUACAUGUGUGACCACAAGGUCAUUUCCUUGUUCCUUAAUUAUUAAAUUUUCAAAGGCAAUAUAUUGAAAUAUAUGGGAAUGUAGGAAAAUAAAAAAUGUAGUCAGAAUAAAAACUCUACAGCCUUACUUCCUGCUGACAUCAUCUGGCCACAACUUUGCUCAAAAAAUUCUGGGUACGUUAAGCCGUUGUGGCAAUUGAUUUUCAUCACAGAUGAAUUUUGUUUUUUGUAUUUUACUUCCAUUUUUAAGUCUAAAUAGAAGAUGAAUUAUAUGUUAUGUAGGGUUUUUCAUCUUUUGGUACCUCUGUGUCAAGGAUAAAUAUAAAUUGAAGAAUUGGAAUGACUUUCCCACUGCCAGGAAUGGAAUGCAUUAACAUUUAAAAUUCACUAAUUCUAUUGAUCUUCUAAGGGAAAAAAUUGUUUAAGUUGUUCCUAAAUCUAUCUCUGACUUGUAGGCCCGUGAGAAGCAAAACCACAGCAGGAAGGAAGAAUGUGAUACUCACUAUGUUUAGAAGGGAAGGAGUGGGAAGAGUCCAGUUUCCUUGUAUUUUAUUCCAAAUUCUUUGUUUUUCUGUGCUGUUUCUUUUUUCUUUGCUGAGAAAUUGAUUAUUCUAAAUUCCCCCCUCACCCCAUCUUGUGCGUUACGUAUGAUCAGCAGUAAAAAGACCACACAUAAUCCAGAUGAGCUCCAGUAUUGCUUUUAAUUUCUAUGGAACUGACUGUGUAACUCUAUUAAGACUGAUGACAAAAGAACUAUUUUUGGUGCCUCUUAGAAAGAAACACACUGGAGCCUGUUAUUUUCAGUAACCCUGCUGUUCAGAGAGAAAAGCACCAACAAAGCUACUUUUUUUUUUUUUUUAUCAAAUAUCACUAAAUUCUCCUGCCUCUGUGGGUUUAUCCUUUAGUCUAUACAUUUGACCAAAAGUGCAACACAUCAAGGCUGAACAAGCUCUGCUGGUUGCCUGAUUCCAAAAAAAGGAAUCAAGGAUGUAUUGCACUUUUGUUACCCACAGAUUAUGAGUCUUGAAAACUUUCUUUUUUCUCAUCAAAUGUUUAACAAGGAUGUCGUUUUAGGAUCUUAUCAUGGGAAGUGGUCUGGAAAUGUGAUCUUUAUUCUUCUCAAUCUCUGCUUCCACAAACACAAAACCACUUUGGCCGAUUCAAAUUAAGGUUUGACUGACUUCACCAAGAAACCUGGAAAAAACCUAUGAUGCCAGAAUGUUAAGAUUUCCCUUAAACCAUUCUGUGUAUUCGCAACUCAAUGGUGUGCAUUUAGUAACAACAGCAGGCUCAGCCUGUUCAGUCAUUAAUAAUCACUGUGUGGAAAAGAGUCCAUGGGCUAGUAAUCUAGCAAGAAAAAAUGAAGUCGAGGGAGCUUGAGUCAUCAAUGAGAGUGGAGUGAACUUAUAUUAAAUCUCUAGCACUACUCUACAGGAUAAAUGUGAGAAGCACAAUGGAGGUAUAAUUAAGAUAAUUUGGAGAAUAUUUAUGUCAGUUCUGAGAACAGA
This 10029-nucleotide long non-coding RNA is filed under the name Homo sapiens (human). Its description in RNAcentral is "non-protein coding MANCR:27". The record is from RNAcentral. Lineage: Eukaryota; Metazoa; Chordata; Mammalia; Primates; Hominidae.